GACAGCAGCAGCCACGGUAAUACGAAGGGGGCUAGCGUUGUUCGGAUUCACUGGGCGUAAAGCGCACGUAGGCGGAUCGAUCAGUCAGGGGUGAAAUCCCAGAGCUCAACUCUGGAACUGCCUUUGAUACUGUCGAUCUGGAGUAUGGAAGAGGUGAGUGGAAUUCCGAGUGUAGAGGUGAAAUUCGUAGAUACUUGGAGGAACACCAGUGGCGAAGGCGGCUCACUGGUCCAUUACUGACGCUGAGGUGCGAAAGCGUGGGGAGCAAACAGGAUUAGAUACCCGGGUAGUCCCUGUCUCUUAUAC
RNAcentral lists this ribosomal RNA (306 nucleotides) under uncultured bacterium. RNAcentral describes it as "partial 16S ribosomal RNA". It matches the Rfam family "Bacterial small subunit ribosomal RNA", at positions 507 to 807 of the family's 1533-position model. The record is from RNAcentral.